This 1098-nucleotide long non-coding RNA is filed under the name Oncorhynchus mykiss (rainbow trout). RNAcentral's name for it is "lncRNA (ENSOMYG00000049441.1)". The record is from RNAcentral. Lineage: Eukaryota; Metazoa; Chordata; Actinopteri; Salmoniformes; Salmonidae.
AUGAAGUGCUUUGAGAGACUAGUCAAGGACCAUAUCACCUCCACCCUACCUGACACCCUAGACCCACUCCAAUUUGCUUACCACCCCAAUAGGUCCACAGACGACGCAAUCGCAACCACACUGCACACUGCCCUAACCCAUCUGGACAAGAGGAAUACCUAUGUGAGAAUGCUGUUCAUCGACUACAGCUCGGCAUUUAACACCAUAGUGCCCUCCAAGCUCGUCAUCAAGCUCGAGACCAUGGGUCUCGACCCCGCCCUGUGCAACUCGGUACUGGACUUCCUGAUGGGCCACCCCCAGGUGGUGAGGGUAGGUAACAACAUCUCCACCCCGCUGAUCCUCAACACUGGGGCCCCACAAGGGUGCGUUCUGAGCCCUCUCCUGUACUCCCUGUUCACCCAUGACUGCGUGGCCAUGCACGCCUCCAACUCAAUCAUCAAGUUUGCGGACGACACUACAGUGGUAGGCUUGAUUACCAACAAUGACGAGACGGCCUACAGGGAGGAGGUGAGGGCCCUCGGAGUGUGGUGUCAGGAAAAUAACCUCACACUCAACGUCAACAAAACAAAGGAGAUGAUUGUGGACUUCAGGAAACAGCAGAGGGAGCACCCCCCUAUCCACAUCGACGGGACAAUAGUGGAGAGGGUAGUAAGUUUUAAGUUCCUCGGCGUACACAUCAUGGACAAACUGAAUUGGUCCACCCACACAGACAGCGUUGUGAAGAGGGCGCAGCAGCGCCUCUUCAACCUCAGGAGGCUGAAGAAAUUCGGCCUGUCACCAAAAGCACUCACAAACGUCUACAAAUGCACAAUCGAGAGCAUCCUGCCGGGCUCUUUCGCCGCCUGGUACGGCAUCUGCUCCGCCCACAACCAUAAGGCUCUCCAGAGGGUAGUGAGGUCUGCACAACGCAUCACCGUGGGCAAACUACCUGCCCUCCAGGACACCUACACCACCCGAUGUCACCGGAAGGCCAUAAAGAUCAUCAAGGACAACAACCACCUGAGCGACUGCCUGUUCACCCCGCUAUCAUCCAGAAGGCGAGGUCAGAACAGGUGCAUCAAAGCAGGGACUGAGAGACUGAAAAACAGCUUCUAUCUA